This is a non-coding RNA of Notechis scutatus (mainland tiger snake), 165 nucleotides long. NCBI's taxonomy places the organism in Eukaryota, Metazoa, Chordata, Lepidosauria, Squamata, Elapidae. The record is from RefSeq and is a predicted model, not a curated record.
CUCAAAUAACUUUAUGUCAAAAUAGCAUAAUAGAUUUGUGGGGCCGGCAUGUUGUGCAACAAGGUCACAUAGUGUAAUAAGAUUGGGACUGGGUUAGGGACUUCUAUCCUCACUGUGAGUUGUGUUGGGGUGGGGUGCACAAAGGGAGGCUCAGCCAAUCUCAUU